This 73-nucleotide transfer RNA is filed under the name Gemmatimonadota bacterium. Its description in RNAcentral is "Gemmatimonadetes bacterium tRNA-Gly". It matches the Rfam family "tRNA". Rfam says of the family: Transfer RNA (tRNA) molecules are approximately 80 nucleotides in length. Their secondary structure includes four short double-helical elements and three loops (D, anti-codon, and T loops). The record is from RNAcentral. RNAcentral also lists the same sequence under 2 other names. Lineage: Bacteria; Pseudomonadati; Gemmatimonadota.
GCGGGAAUAGCUCAGUUGGUAGAGCACAACCUUGCCAAGGUUGGGGUCGCGGGUUCGAGUCCCGCUUCCCGCU